UACAGAGGGGGCAAGCGUUGUUCGGAAUUACUGGGCGUAAAGGGCGCGUAGGCGGCCUGUUAAGUCGAACGUGAAAUCCCCGGGCUCAACCCGGGAACUGCGUCCGAUACUGGCAGGCUUGAAUCCGGGAGAGGGAUGCGGAAUUCCAGGUGUAGCGGUGAAAUGCGUAGAUAUCUGGAGGAACACCGGUGGCGAAGGCGGCAUCCUGGACCGGUAUUGACGCUGAGGCGCGAAAGCGUGGGGAGCAAACGGG
This 253-nucleotide ribosomal RNA is filed under the name uncultured bacterium. Its description in RNAcentral is "partial 16S ribosomal RNA". It matches the Rfam family "Bacterial small subunit ribosomal RNA", at positions 524 to 776 of the family's 1533-position model. The record is from RNAcentral.